UAGGGAAUUUUCGUCAAUGGGCGCAAGCCUGAACGAGCAAUGCCGCGUGAGCGAAGAAGGUCUUCGGAUCGUAAAACUCUGUUGCGGGGGAAAAAGGAAGGGAAGAGGAAAUGCUUUUCUUUUGAUGGUACCCCGCCAGAAAGUCACGGCUAACUACGUGCCAGCAGCCGCGGUAAUACGUAGGUGGCAAGCGUUAUCCGGAAUGAUUGGGCGUAAAGGGUGCGCAGGCUGCGCGUCAAGUCUGAAGUGAAAGGUACGGGCUUAACCGGUACAGGCUUUGGAAACUGGCACGCUAGAGGACAGGAGAGGGCGGUGGAACUCCAUGUGUAGCGGUAAAAUGCGUAGAUAUAUGGAAGAACACCAGUUGCGAAGGCGACCGCCUGGACUGUUGCUGACGCUCAGGCACGAAAGCGUGGGGAGCAAAUAGGAUUAGAUACC
Molecule: ribosomal RNA, 438 nt
Filed under: uncultured bacterium
Lineage: Bacteria
Description: bacterial SSU rRNA
Rfam family: Bacterial small subunit ribosomal RNA
Source: RNAcentral